AUUGCGACUGCUCUUCUAAG
This 20-nucleotide non-coding RNA is filed under the name Rattus norvegicus (Norway rat). The record is from RNAcentral. Lineage: Eukaryota; Metazoa; Chordata; Mammalia; Rodentia; Muridae.